This 460-nucleotide ribosomal RNA is filed under the name uncultured bacterium. RNAcentral's name for it is "partial 16S ribosomal RNA". It matches the Rfam family "Bacterial small subunit ribosomal RNA", at positions 338 to 795 of the family's 1533-position model. The record is from RNAcentral.
CCUACGGGGGGCAGCAGUGAGGAAUAUUGGUCAAUGGGCUUACGCCUGAACCAGCCAAGUCGCGUGAGGGAAGACUGCCCUAUGGGUUGUAAACCUCUUUUGUCAGGGAGCAAUUGGCGCUACGUGUAGCGUUAUCGAGAGUACCUGAAGAAAAAGCAUCGGCUAACUCCGUGCCAGCAGCCGCGGUAAUACGGAGGAUGCGAGCGUUAUCCGGAUUUAUUGGGUUUAAAGGGUGCGUAGGCGGAAUGCCAAGUCAGCGGUAAAAUCGCGGGGCUCAACCUCGCUCCGCCGUUGACACUGGCGGUCUUGAGUGAGCGAGAAGUAUGCGGAAUGCGUGGUGUAGCGGUGAAAUGCAUAGAUAUCACGCAGAACUCCGAUUGCGAAGGCAGCAUACCGGCGCCCAACUGACGCUGAAGCACGAAAGCGUUGGUAUCGAACAGGAUUAGAUACCCCAGUAGUC